AGAGUUUGAUCCUGGCUCAGGACGAACGCUGGCGGCGCGCUUAACACAUGCAAGUCGAGCGAGAACCAGGCCUUCGGGCCCGGGGAAAGCGGCGAACGGGUGAGUAACACGUGGGUAACCCACCCUUGGUAUCGGGAUAGCCCGGGGAAACCCGGAUUAAUACCGGAUGGCUCAACAGCUCUUCGGGGCGGUUGGAAAAGGUAGCUUCGGCCUCCGACCAAGGACGGGCCCGCGGCGGAUUAGCUUGUUGGUGGGGUAACGGCCCACCAAGGCGACGAUCCGUAGCUGGUCUGAGAGGACGAUCAGCCACACUGGGACUGAGACACGGCCCAGACUCCUACGGGAGGCAGCAGUGGGGAAUCUUGCGCAAUGGGCGAAAGCCUGACGCAGCGACGCCGCGUGGGGGAAGAAGGCUUUCGGGUUGUAAACCCCUUUCAGGAAGGACGAAGCCACUCGGGUGAAUAGCCCAGAGGGUGACGGUACUUCCAGAAGAAGCCCCGGCUAACUACGUGCCAGCAGCCGCGGUAAU
This 529-nucleotide ribosomal RNA is filed under the name uncultured soil bacterium. RNAcentral's name for it is "bacterial SSU rRNA". It matches the Rfam family "Bacterial small subunit ribosomal RNA", at positions 8 to 524 of the family's 1533-position model. The record is from RNAcentral.